UCUUCAAAUUGAAAAAAUUCAGAUAGAGUAGAACUCUUCCACGAUCGAGUCUCCCAUAAAAUGAAAAUAUCUUUUUUGAAUCAAUCUGUAUGAUAAAUCUGAAAAUCAUCAUGACUUCGAGAUAGAUACGACUCAAACUCCUUCCCUAUAAAUUAAGACUCCAAGAUACGCAAUCGACUCAUCGCUCUCUUCUCUCAUUAUUUUCCGAUCUCUUGAUUGUUGCGUUGAAGGGUCUUCAUCGGAGAAUGCCAUCCCCAGUGAAAACUUAUUUUGCAAGUGUUCGGGCGAAGCUCCAAUAGUGAUUCCACUUCGACCACAUUCACCUCGACAACCGACCUCAGAUGGAGAGAUCGGCAGCAACAGAGAACAUAUUAGAUCAUGUUGGUGAGUAGAGUUUUACGAGCACAAAAAAGAGUUCUAGCUUAUAUUUGGUGAGAUAUGAACAAAAUUAGUUGGAGAAGGGAUG
Molecule: long non-coding RNA, 466 nt
Filed under: Elaeis guineensis (African oil palm)
Lineage: Eukaryota; Viridiplantae; Streptophyta; Magnoliopsida; Arecales; Arecaceae
Description: long non-coding RNA (EGUI_LNC002416)
Source: RNAcentral